CUUGGAUCUUUCUAUCCUACUUGGAUAACUGUGGUAAUUCUAGAGCUAAUACAUGCCAGAAAGCGCCGGCUUUGCGGUCGGAGCGCAUUUAUUAGAUCAAAACCAAUCGGCUCCGGCCGUUGUUUGGUGAAUCUGAAUAACUCGGUAGAUCGCACGGUCCUCGCACCGGCGACGUAUCUUUCAAGUGUCUGCCUUAUCAACUUUCGAUGGUAGUUUAUGUGCCUACCAUGGUUGUAACGGGUAACGGAGAAUCAGGGUUCGACUCCGGAGAGGGAGCCUGAGAAACGGCUACC
This 293-nucleotide ribosomal RNA is filed under the name Pselionema sp. 38L15G15. RNAcentral describes it as "partial 18S ribosomal RNA". It matches the Rfam family "Eukaryotic small subunit ribosomal RNA", at positions 119 to 411 of the family's 1831-position model. Lineage: Eukaryota; Metazoa; Nematoda; Chromadorea; Plectida; Ceramonematidae. The record is from RNAcentral.